GAUGAACGCUGGCGGCGUGCCUAAUACAUGCAAGUCGAGCGAACAGACGAGGAGCUUGCUCCUCUGACGUUAGCGGCGGACGGGUGAGUAACACGUGGAUAACCUACCUAUAAGACUGGGAUAACUUCGGGAAACCGGAGCUAAUACCGGAUAAUAUAUUGAACCGCAUGGUUCAAUAGUGAAAGACGGUUUUGCUGUCACUUAUAGAUGGAUCCGCGCCGCAUUAGCUAGUUGGUAAGGUAACGGCUUACCAAGGCGACGAUGCGUAGCCGACCUGAGAGGGUGAUCGGCCACACUGGAACUGAGACACGGUCCAGACUCCUACGGGAGGCAGCAGUAGGGAAUCUUCCGCAAAGGGCGAAAGCCUGACGGAGCAACGCCGCGUGAGUGAUGAAGGUCUUCGGAUCGUAGAACUCUGUUAUUAGGGAAGAACAAAUGUGUAAGUAACUAUGCACGUCUUGACGGUACCUAAUCAGAAAGCCACGGCUAACUACGUG
This 497-nucleotide ribosomal RNA is filed under the name uncultured bacterium. Its description in RNAcentral is "partial 16S ribosomal RNA". It matches the Rfam family "Bacterial small subunit ribosomal RNA", at positions 28 to 507 of the family's 1533-position model. The record is from RNAcentral.